This is an RNA transcript of Trichomycterus rosablanca, 2913 nucleotides long. It is a transcript of the gene named splicing factor proline/glutamine-rich, with no coding region annotated. The transcript has 12 exons. Lineage: Eukaryota; Metazoa; Chordata; Actinopteri; Siluriformes; Trichomycteridae. The record is from RefSeq and is a predicted model, not a curated record.
AGCCAUUUUACAGAGUGCGUUCGUCUAGCGUCGUAUAGCAGCAGCUCUUCGCACUCACAUUUAAAUAACACAUUUCUGUUCCCUGUAACAGAAAGAUUCUUAUUUUUAAACACACAGUAGCUUAAUACGGUUUUAAACUAGACAUGUCUCGGGACCGGUUCAGAAACCGCGGUGGGUUUCAGCAGAGAGGCCGCGGCGGUGGAGGAGGAAUCAGGGGCGGUAUGGGCAACCCGAACUAUCGCAACCAGAACCAGCAUUCCUUCCAGAACAGAGGGCCUCAGUUGUCUACUGCUGGGCCGUUUAAACCCAAUCAGGCUAACCAGACCACCCCGCAGAAGCAGGAUGGAGCAAAUGCGACCACAAAGCCUGAGGUGAAGACUCCUCCACCGCAGCAGCAGCAGCAGAACCAGCCGCAACAACAGCAGCAGAAUCAACAACAGCAGCAGAAUCAACAACAGAAAACGCCGCAGCAGAAUCAGCAACCAAAACCACCACAACAACAGAACCAGAAUCAGCAACCGAAACCCCAGCAGCAGAACCAGCAACCAGCUCAGAACAAAGGACCUUCACCAACCCAGCAACCCCCACAGCAGCAGCAGAAACAGCAGCCACCCCCACAGCAGCAGCAGAAACAGCAGCCACCACCACCACCACCACCACCACCACAGCUCCAGUCUCCUCCAUCGAAAAAUAGCACCCCAAAAACUGAUCCUAAAACCCCGCAGAAUCAGAACCAACAACGCUCGAAUCUACAUAAACCACCGAACAGUGCACAUAAACCUAAUGACCGGCCUCCUCAGACUCAUCAAACUGACGACAAGAAUGCGGGACAACAACAGGAGUUUAAGGCAUCACUUUCGAUGCUUCUCAAACCUGGUGAGAAGAUGUACACCCAACGCUGCCGCUUGUUCAUCGGCAACUUGCCCAACGACAUCAGUGACGCAGAGUUCAGAAAAUUGUUUGCCAAGUACGGAGAGCCCAGUGAGACCUUCAUUAAUCAAGGGAAGGGAUUCGGAUUCAUCCGACUGGAGUCUCGUGCUCUGGCAGAGAUUGCAAAAGCUGAAUUGGACGACACCCCCAUGAAAGGCAGACCUCUCAGGGUCCGCUUUGCUACCCACUCUGCUGCACUGUCUGUGCGCAACCUGUCCCCAUUUGUCUCCAACGAGCUGCUGGAGGAAGCCUUUUCCCAGUUCGGACUUGUUGAGAGGGCAGUAGUUAUUGUGGACGACCGUGGACGCUCAACUGGGAAGGGCAUUGUUGAGUUUGCUACCAAGUCAGCUGCAAGAAAGGCGAUUGACCGGAUCAACGAUGGAGUGUUCCUGCUCACCUCGUCACCCCGCCCAGUUGUUGUUGAGCCUUUGGAACAGUUUGAUGAUGAAGAUGGUCUUCCAGAAAAACUUGCACAGAAGAACCCAAACUAUCAGAAAGAACGAGAGCAGCCACCUCGUUUUGCCAGACCAGGCACCUUUGAGUUUGAAUACUCCCAGCGCUGGAAGUCUCUUGAUGACAUGGAGAAACAGCAGAGGCAGCAAGUGGAGAAAAAUAUCAAUGAAGCUCGUGAAAAGCUGGAGACAGAGAUGGAGGACGCGUACCACGAUCAUCAAGCCAACAUGCUCCGUCAGGAUCUGCUCAGGCGGCAAGAGGAGCUGCGCCGCAUGGAAGAGCAGCAUAAGCAAGAAAUGCAAAAACGCAAGGAGAUGCAGAUCAGGUACACCCCACCCCCGUUUCUGCUCAUGCAAGAGGAGGAGCGCCGCAGACGGGACGAGGAAUUGUUGCGCCAAAGGGAAAUCGAAGAACAGAUAAGGCGUAAGCGGGAAGAGUCCUACAGGAUGGGUGGAUUCAUGGACAAUAGGGAUCGGGCAAUGGCCGGUGGUCUUGGACUGGCAGAUAUGCCUUUUGGCUCCCCCACCCAGAACUUCCCAUUUGCUAGAAUGGGCUUUGAUGGUCAGCAGGGACUCGGUGGAGCAGUGCCUGGCGGAAUGGGCCCCAACGAAAUGGGUCCUCGAGUUAUUGGUGGAGGCUGAGUGCUGCACCUUUGGAGCUAAGAUCAUUGGAUAUCAGUAAUCUAUUGGUGGAUCCAAAUAGAGGAACAAUGACCGAUCUCUAAAGAAGCCUUAAGACCUGAACAGAGUACAGGAUGUUGUGGAGAAACUCUGUCCAUUUGCUCACCGGGAGUCUUGAGUCGACUUGACUGCACUUCAUAAUCACGAUCCAGUAGGUUUUCAGAAUGAAGUCCAGGUUGAAGAAUCUUCAGAUGUAGAGUGGCUGAAUGAAACGGUGAAGAGGGAUGUGAGGAGUUCUGCAGCCGACUUAAUUACAGAUUUUCAUGUGUGUUUAUAAUUUCCUUCUGCUUCAGUGUUACACUAUAUGGCCAGAGCAAAGCGGAAUCAUGUUGCAGGAAGCCGCCUUAAAGGAGUGGAGUCUGGUGUGGAUUGGGAAUGGGAAUUUGUACUCAUUCAAUAAAAAAAAAAAGAAUAAAAAAAAUCAUUGGUCAGACAUGUUGGAUGAAAGACCUGUUAUCUGUCGGACUGUUGUGUCUUUUUAGCCAUAUAGUGCAUCACAAAACCUGAAGAUCACAUGCUCGUGUUACUGUUGUGAUAUUUUAGAAGACUUGUGUUUCUCGUUGAAGACUGACCUGUGUGUAUCUUGGCAACAUGUGGAGUGUUGUGAGGGAUUAAGUGUAAGGGUUUACGUUUCACUCGUUUUAUCACUGUUGGAAAUCUCUGGCUUGUCGGUGCUUCUGAUUGUUUUGGACGGCAAGCUGACAGCGCACAACACACGUGACCGUGAACGGAACUGUUUCUGUCUGACCGUCUAGCUGAUCAGUUUCUGAACUGUCAAAACUUCAAGUUUGUUUCUCCUGUAUGUGUCAAAUUACAUUUAUAACACUAAUAAAUGUUCUAUUUAAAGCUU